This 247-nucleotide ribosomal RNA is filed under the name uncultured bacterium. RNAcentral's name for it is "partial 16S ribosomal RNA". It matches the Rfam family "Bacterial small subunit ribosomal RNA", at positions 86 to 334 of the family's 1533-position model. The record is from RNAcentral.
AGAUGGCGACCGGCGCACGGGUGAGUAACACGUAUCCAACCUGCCGAUAACUCGGGGAUAGCCUUUCGAAAGAAAGAUUAAUACCCGAUGGUAUAAUCAGACCGCAUGGUUUGAUUAUUAAAGAAUUUCGGUUAUCGAUGGGGGUGCGUUCCAUUAGGCAGUUGGUGAGGUAACGGCUCACCAAACCUUCGAUGGAUAGGGGUUCUGAGAGGAAGGUCCCCCACAUUGGAACUGAGACACGGUCCAA